Molecule: long non-coding RNA, 791 nt
Filed under: Homo sapiens (human)
Lineage: Eukaryota; Metazoa; Chordata; Mammalia; Primates; Hominidae
Description: HSALNT0368564
Source: RNAcentral
CUUUCCCAAGCUGCCUGAGUAGAAGGAAACACACAGCUCCCCCAGAGCAGAGAGGCCCGCGAGAGGGAAAGCUGGCCCAGGCCCAGGGCAGGCUCGCCUCUGACUCUGCAGGGACAUUAUUCCCUCCCAGCCAGCAGGGAACUUCUGGAACUUCUAAACAGCACAUCCUCGAGCCAGCCCAGGCCCCCACAGCAUCCUGCACCCCAGGUUUACAAGCUUUUUAAUGAUGGAGUUUUGCUCUUACGCCCAGGCUGGAAUGAAGUGGCAUGAUCUUGGCUCACUGCAACCUCUGCCCCACCAAAAUUCAAGCAAUUCUCCUGCCUCAGCCUCCCGAGUAGCUGGGAUUACAGGCAUGCACCACCACACCUGCCUAAUUUUUGUAUUUUUAGUAGAGAUGGGGUUUUGCCAUGUUGCCCAGGCUGGUCUCGAACUCCUGACCUCAAUUGAUUCACCUACCAAAGCCUCCCAAAGUGCUAGGAUUACAAGUGUGAGCCACCAUGCCAGGUCUGAGAACAGUUUUAAUCUGGAUGUCACCCAUCGCUGAGCCAGAGGGAAAGACAGCUCAAAGGGUUUUGAAUUAGCAAUUGAAUUCUGGAAUUCUUGGCCCAGAAGUGAAAUGUAUGACUUCCACUCACAACCCAUUGGCUAAAGCUGGUCACAUGGCCCCAUCGAACUACAGAGAGCCAGGAAGAGAGAUCCUACCAUAUGCCAGAAGGCAGAGAGGCACAGAUAUUUAGUGAGCAUUGGAAAGACAUCUAGAAACCACCAAGGAAGAAUGACAUUUGAACCAA